AGAGGGUGCAAGCGUUGUUCGGAAUUACUGGGCGUAAAGCGCGUGUAGGCGGAUAAAGAAGUCGGGUGUGAAAGCCCUGGGCUCAACCCAGGAAUUGCGCCCGAAACCACUUGUCUAGAGUAUGGUAGGGGAUCGGGGAAUUUCCGGUGUAGAGGUGAAAUUCGUAGAUAUCGGAAGGAACACCAGUGGCGAAGGCGCCGAUCUGGGCCAUUACUGACGCUGAGACGCGAAAGCAUGGGUAGCAAACAGGAUUAGAUACCCUGGUAGUCCAUGCUGUAAACGAUGAGUACUAGAUGCUGGGGGGAAUUGACUCCUUCGGUGCCGAAAGCUAACGCAAUAAGUACUCCGCCUGGGAAGUACGGUCGCAAGUCUG
RNAcentral lists this ribosomal RNA (373 nucleotides) under uncultured organism. RNAcentral describes it as "partial 16S ribosomal RNA". It matches the Rfam family "Bacterial small subunit ribosomal RNA", at positions 527 to 896 of the family's 1533-position model. The record is from RNAcentral.